CUCUCCUACGGGAGGCAGCAGUGAGGAAUAUUGGUCAAUGGUCGGGAGACUGAACCAGCCAAGCCGCGUGAGGGAUGAAGGUACAGAGUAUCGUAAACCUCUUUUGUCAGGGAACAAAGGCGGGGACGCGUCCCCGGAUGAGUGUACCUGAAGAAAAAGCAUCGGCUAACUCCGUGCCAGCAGCCGCGGUAAUACGGAGGAUGCGAGCGUUAUCCGGAUUUACUGGGUGUAAAGGGUGUGCAGCCGGAGAGACAAGUCAGAUGUGAAAUCCACGGGCUCAACCCGUGAACUGCAUUUGAAACUGU
RNAcentral lists this ribosomal RNA (305 nucleotides) under uncultured bacterium. Its description in RNAcentral is "bacterial SSU rRNA". It matches the Rfam family "Bacterial small subunit ribosomal RNA", at positions 334 to 636 of the family's 1533-position model. The record is from RNAcentral.